AGGAUGAACGCUGGCGGCGUGCCUAACACAUGCAAGUCGAACGUCCUGUCUCGCAAGAGGCAGGGAGUGGCGGACGGGUGAGUACCACGUGGGUCAUCUACCGUGAGGUGAGGAAUACCGGCGAGAAAUCGCCGACAAGACCGCAUAGCCUCGGUGCAAGUCGAGGAAAGCUCUCUCGAGAGAGGGAGCGCCACACGAGGAGCCUGCGCCCGAUUAGCUAGCUGGUGGAGUAAUGGUUCACCAGGGCGACGAUCGGUAGCUGGUCUGAGAGGACGAUCAGCCACACUGGGAUUGAGAACGGCCCAGACUCCUACGGGGGGCAGCAGUGAGGAAUUUUCGUCAAUGGGGGCAACCCUGAACGAGCAACGCCGCGUGCAGGAAGAAGGUUUUCGGAUCGUAAACUGCUUUCGCGGGAAGAGGAACGGACGGUACCGAGGAACGAAGACCCGGCUAACUACGCGCCAGCAGCCGCGU
Molecule: ribosomal RNA, 474 nt
Filed under: uncultured bacterium
Lineage: Bacteria
Description: SSU rRNA
Rfam family: Bacterial small subunit ribosomal RNA
Source: RNAcentral